Molecule: ribosomal RNA, 413 nt
Filed under: Enterobacter sp.
Lineage: Bacteria; Pseudomonadati; Pseudomonadota; Gammaproteobacteria; Enterobacterales; Enterobacteriaceae
Description: bacterial SSU rRNA
Rfam family: Bacterial small subunit ribosomal RNA
Source: RNAcentral
CGUGUCGUGAAAUGCUGGGUUAAGUCCCGCAACGAGCGCAACCCUUAUCCUUUGUUGCCAGCGGUCCGGCCGGGAACUCAAAGGAGACUGCCAGUGAUAAACUGGAGGAAGGUGGGGAUGACGUCAAGUCAUCAUGGCCCUUACGAGUAGGGCUACACACGUGCUACAAUGGCGCAUACAAAGAGAAGCGACCUCGCGAGAGCAAGCGGACCUCAUAAAGUGCGUCGUAGUCCGGAUUGGAGUCUGCAACUCGACUCCAUGAAGUCGGAAUCGCUAGUAAUCGUAGAUCAGAAUGCUACGGUGAAUACGUUCCCGGGCCUUGUACACACCGCCCGUCACACCAUGGGAGUGGGUGCAAAAGAAGUAGGUAGCUUAACCUUCGGGAGGGCGCUUACCACUUGGAUCAGGCUGCG